This 299-nucleotide signal recognition particle RNA is filed under the name Aotus nancymaae (Ma's night monkey). RNAcentral describes it as "Metazoan signal recognition particle RNA (ENSANAG00000013034.1)". It matches the Rfam family "Metazoan signal recognition particle RNA". Rfam says of the family: The signal recognition particle (SRP) is a universally conserved ribonucleoprotein. It is involved in the co-translational targeting of proteins to membranes. Lineage: Eukaryota; Metazoa; Chordata; Mammalia; Primates; Aotidae. The record is from RNAcentral.
GCCAGGCGCGGUGGCACGUGCCUGUAGUCCCAGCUACUCAGGAGGCUGAGGUGGGAGGAUUGCUUGAGCCCAGGAGUUCUGGGCUGUAGUGCGCUAUGCCGAUCGGGUGUCCGCACUAAGUUCAGCAUCAAUAUGGUGACCUCCUGGGAGCGGGGGACCACCAGGUUGCCUAAGGAGGGGUGAACCGGCCCAGGUCAGAAACGGAGCAGGUCAAAACUCCCAUGCUGAUCAGUAGUGGGAUCGCGCCUGUGAAUAGCCACUGCACCCCAGCCUGGGCAGCACAGCGAGAUCCCAUCUCU